CCACAUUUAUGUAUAGUUUUAUCCAUACAGCUCACAAACUAUGAACAGUUUGUGUGGUGCAUAUAGAAGGUUCAAAUAGAAGCAGCAGAUAUAGAAAAUAGAAACUUAUCUAGAAAAUGUGUUUGACUUGUCAAGGAUUCUAGAAAGAAAAAAGAAGGAAAAAUGGAUUUUCUUCAUAGUUCCAGCAUUUUGAUUUAGCUACAACUUAAUGCCCUCUAUAGAGAGAGAUAGAAAGGAAACAAGAAGUAAAAUUAAAUGAAAAACAUUAGUUCUUACAUCACACAAACAAGUGGUGCUCAUCAGCUGAUGAGCUUCCCUUCCCCCCUUCAUAGAACUAGCUAGGGUAUAUUCAUCCAAUUAACCCUCUCAACUACAUCUCGUCUGUUUGUUUAACUAGUCAAUUCACAUCUGCAAAUGGAGUUCGGUUUUCUGCAAGACGCGGAAUUUUGCUUUCAACUUCGAUCCAUUUUAAUUGUUUCUCAAUGAAAUUUUCUUCCCUGAUUUUUGUCCUCAUCUCUUCAAUGGAUGCAAGGCUGGGGACUGAUACAAUUUUUUUGUGAGAUGUUGAACUUGUUUCCUUGUCAACCUGUUCAUGAACAACAAAACAAACUUCAAACUGGUGGCUAAUUCACAUAAUAAUAAUAAUAAU
Molecule: long non-coding RNA, 649 nt
Filed under: Trifolium pratense (red clover)
Lineage: Eukaryota; Viridiplantae; Streptophyta; Magnoliopsida; Fabales; Fabaceae
Description: long non-coding RNA (TPRA_LNC012876)
Source: RNAcentral